UGGGGAAUAUUGGGCAAUGGGCGCAAGCCUGACCCAGCAACGCCGCGUGAAGGAAGAAGGCUUUCGGGUUGUAAACUUCUUUUGUGAGGGACGAAACAAAUGACGGUACCUCACGAAUAAGCCACGGCUAACUACGUGCCAGCAGCCGCGGUAAUACGUAGGUGGCGAGCGUUAUCCGGAUUUACUGGGUGUAAAGGGCGUGUAGGCGGGACUGCAAGUCAGAUGUGAAAACCAUGGGCUCAACCCAUGGCCUGCAUUUGAAACUGUAGUUCUUGAGUGAUGGAGAGGCAGGCGGAAUUCCGUGUGUAGCGGUGAAAUGCGUAGAUAUUAGGAGGAACACCAGUGGCGAAGGCGGCUUACUGGACGGUAACUGACGUUGAGGCUCGAAAGCGUGGGGAGCAAACAGGAUUAGAUACCC
RNAcentral lists this ribosomal RNA (418 nucleotides) under uncultured bacterium. RNAcentral's name for it is "bacterial SSU rRNA". It matches the Rfam family "Bacterial small subunit ribosomal RNA", at positions 355 to 787 of the family's 1533-position model. The record is from RNAcentral.